Molecule: long non-coding RNA, 585 nt
Filed under: Nicotiana benthamiana
Lineage: Eukaryota; Viridiplantae; Streptophyta; Magnoliopsida; Solanales; Solanaceae
Description: long non-coding RNA (NBEN_LNC025677)
Source: RNAcentral
UAAUAUUUUCCAAAAGGUUUCAUGCCUGAUCACUACCAUGUUGCUAGCUCUUAACUGAUACAUCCCUACUAUGUCUGUUGGAUUAUUGCACUAUAUGGUGAUAGAAGUUUCAUUUCUCUGUCCGAAGGAUAUAGGUUUUUGUAGUACUUUGAUCUUUUAUAGACUCAUAUCUUCUUAUUCUUAGGCAAAAAAUCUAUGAGCCCAAAUUAGUUUAUACACAAAUGUUUUAUCUAUUUUUAAUAGAAUUUCUUAUACUCAUCAGCUAUGACGACAAUUCACUUAAUAGAGUUGGAAUUUCCAGUGCCCAAGUAACAAUGUCGAGAAAGAGAUAUUCAUCGUAUUUAUAAGUUGAAGAGGUUGGAAACGUGCUGCCUUAAUGAUGUGUGGUGAGUCAUUUGGCGUAGAGCUUUGUCUAGUAAAGUCUGUUGGCCGUAUUAAAAUAAUACUCAUUGUAAAGAAAAUGAUUCUAAGUAACAUCAGAAAUUUGAAGUGGUAAGGAAAAAAGUUGUAGGUAAGUGCAAAGGUUUCCUUUAGUUUUCAAGACAGUCACUAGUUUAUUAAGUUCCAAAUAAAUGAUUGAAGAGC